This is a long non-coding RNA of Camelus dromedarius (Arabian camel), 591 nucleotides long. RefSeq lists it as uncharacterized. The transcript is spliced from 3 exons. NCBI's taxonomy places the organism in Eukaryota, Metazoa, Chordata, Mammalia, Artiodactyla, Camelidae. The record is from RefSeq and is a predicted model, not a curated record.
UAAACAUACAAAUGAACAGGGACAGUUCCUGGUUCAGCUUCAUCUAACGCUAUCUUAAUUCCUCCAUUUAUUUGUUCAAGCAACAUUUACUGACAUCUGUUUUGUCACAGACACUUGGGAAACCGAGAUGAGUAAGAGUCCCUGUUCUUAAAGAUCUUACAGUCUAACAGAAUCUAACUAGUGAGGAGAGAAGCUAAACAAGAUGACAACACAGGUUGGAAUAAGAAGAAUUAACAGAAUGCUACUGGAGCGUAGAAGAGGAGCUCUUAUUUUAGUCAAGGAAGGCUCUUCAGAAGUGGCAGAAUUUGGCUGAUGGGCGUAAAUUACAGAGAGGCAACUUUCAGCUUGAAAAACAACUCCUCCAUUACCAACAUAAUGAAGAGUUGAUAGGCUGUAUGUUAUACAACCAAAGACCUUCAAACAAAGGAAGAAUAACUUCUGACAAGGGUUCCACAUAUAAGUGAUGUCAUAUGGUAUUUUUCUUUCUCUUUCUGGCUUACUUCACUUAGAAUGAUGAUCUCCAGGUCCAUCCAUGUUGCUGCAACUUCUGUGAAAGUUUUAGAAUCUAUACUUUCCAACUGGAAAAACAAU